AUUGAACGCUGGCGGCAGGCCUAACACAUGCAAGUCGAGCGGAUGAAGGGAGCUUGCUCCUGGAUUCAGCGGCGGACGGGUGAGUAAUGCCUAGGAAUCUGCCUGGUAGUGGGGGAGAACGUCCGGAAACGGGAGCUAAUACCGCAUACGACCAGAGGGAGAAAGAGGGGGAUCUUCGGACCUCGCGCUAUCAGAUGAGCCUAGGUCGGAUUAGCUUGUUGGUGGGGUAAAGGCCGACCAAGGCGACGAUCCGUAACUGGUCUGAGAGGAUGAUCAGUCACACUGGAACUGAGCCACGGUCCAGACUCCUACGGGAGGCAGCAGUGGGGAAUAUUGGACAAUGGGCGAAAGCCUGAUCCAGCCCUGCCGCGUGUGUGAAGAAGGUCUUCGGAUUGUAAAGCCCUUUAAGUUGGGAGGAAGGGCAGUAAGUUAAUACCUUGCUGUUUUGACGUUACCAACAGAAUAAGCACCGGCUAACUUCGUG
RNAcentral lists this ribosomal RNA (484 nucleotides) under uncultured bacterium. RNAcentral describes it as "partial 16S ribosomal RNA". It matches the Rfam family "Bacterial small subunit ribosomal RNA", at positions 30 to 507 of the family's 1533-position model. The record is from RNAcentral.